UACGGAGGGUGCAAGCGUUAUCCGGAUUCACUGGGUUAAAGGGUGCGUAGGCGGGUUGGUAAGUCCGUGGUGAAAUCUCCAAGCUUAACUUGGAAACUGCCGUGGAUACUAUCAAUCUUGAAUAUCGUGGAGGUAAGCGGAAUAUGUCAUGUAGCGGUGAAAUGCUUAGAUAUGACAUAGAACACCAAUUGCGUAGGCAGCUUACUACACGAUCAUUGACGCUGAGGCACGAAAGCGUGGGGAGCAAACAGG
RNAcentral lists this ribosomal RNA (252 nucleotides) under uncultured bacterium. RNAcentral describes it as "partial 16S ribosomal RNA". It matches the Rfam family "Bacterial small subunit ribosomal RNA", at positions 524 to 776 of the family's 1533-position model. The record is from RNAcentral.